Molecule: small RNA, 17 nt
Filed under: Arabidopsis thaliana (thale cress)
Lineage: Eukaryota; Viridiplantae; Streptophyta; Magnoliopsida; Brassicales; Brassicaceae
Description: ATSL241620
Source: RNAcentral
AGGCAGUGAUGAUUAAC